UACGUAGGGGGCAAGCGUUGUCCGGAAUUAUUGGGCGUAAAGAGCGUGUAGGCGGUCCGGUAAGUCAGCUGUGAAAGUCAAGGGCUCAACCCUGGAAAGCCGGUGGAUACUGUCGGGCUAGAGUCCGGAAGAGGCGAGUGGAAUUCCUGGUGUAGCGGUGGAAUGCGCAGAUAUCAGGAGGAACACCGAUGGCGAAGGCAGCUCGCUGGGACGGUACUGACGCUGAGGCGCGAAAGCGUGGGGAGCGAACAGG
RNAcentral lists this ribosomal RNA (253 nucleotides) under uncultured bacterium. Its description in RNAcentral is "partial 16S ribosomal RNA". It matches the Rfam family "Bacterial small subunit ribosomal RNA", at positions 524 to 776 of the family's 1533-position model. The record is from RNAcentral.